AGAGUUUGAUCAUGGCUCAGAGCGAACGCUGGCGGCAGGCUUAACACAUGCAAGUCGAGCGGGCGUAGCAAUACGUCAGCGGCAGACGGGUGAGUAACGCGUGGGAACGUACCUUUUGGUUCGGAACAACACAGGGAAACUUGUGCUAAUACCGGAUAAGCCCUUACGGGGAAAGAUUUAUCGCCGAAAGAUCGGCCCGCGUCUGAUUAGCUAGUUGGUGAGGUAAUGGCUCACCAAGGCGACGAUCAGUAGCUGGUCUGAGAGGAUGAUCAGCCACAUUGGGACUGAGACACGGCCCAAACUCCUACGGGAGGCAGCAGUGGGGAAUAUUGGACAAUGGGGGCAACCCUGAUCCAGCCAUGCCGCGUGAGUGAUGAAGGCCCUAGGGUUGUAAAGCUCUUUUGUGCGGGAAGAUAAUGACGGUACCGCAAGAAUAAGCCCCGGCUAACUUCGUGCCAGCAGCCGCGGUAAUACGAAGGGGGCUAGCGUUGCUCGGAAUCACUGGGCGUAAAGGGUGCGUAGGCGGGUUUUUAAGUCAGGGGUGAAAUCCUGGAGCUCAACUCCAGAACUGCCUUUGAUACUGAAGAUCUUGAGUCCGGGAGAGGUGAGUGGAACUGCGAGUGUAGAGGUGAAAUUCGUAGAUAUUCGCAAGAACACCAGUGGCGAAGGCGGCUCACUGGCCCGGUACUGACGCUGAGGCACGAAAGCGUGGGGAGCAAACAGGAUUAGAUACCCUAGUAGUCC
Molecule: ribosomal RNA, 744 nt
Filed under: uncultured bacterium
Lineage: Bacteria
Description: bacterial SSU rRNA
Rfam family: Bacterial small subunit ribosomal RNA
Source: RNAcentral